This 71-nucleotide transfer RNA is filed under the name Marmota monax (woodchuck). RNAcentral describes it as "tRNA.Ala". It matches the Rfam family "tRNA". Rfam says of the family: Transfer RNA (tRNA) molecules are approximately 80 nucleotides in length. Their secondary structure includes four short double-helical elements and three loops (D, anti-codon, and T loops). The record is from RNAcentral. Lineage: Eukaryota; Metazoa; Chordata; Mammalia; Rodentia; Sciuridae.
GGGGUCGUAGCUCAUUGGUAGAGCGCUUGCCUAGCACGUAUGAGGUGCUGGGUUCAAUCCUCAGCACCACA